UACGAAGGGUGCAAGCGUUAAUCGGAAUUACUGGGCGUAAAGGGUGCGUAGGCGGUUCGUUAAGUCUGUUGUGAAAUCCCCGGGCUCAACCUGGGAAUGGCAAUGGAUACUGGCGGGCUAGAGUGUGUCAGAGGAUGGUGGAAUUCCCGGUGUAGCGGUGAAAUGCGUAGAUAUCAGGAGGAACACCGGUGGCGAAGGCGGCUCUCUGGACCACAACUGACGCUGAGGCGCGAAAGCUAGGGGAGCAAACAGG
Molecule: ribosomal RNA, 253 nt
Filed under: uncultured bacterium
Lineage: Bacteria
Description: partial 16S ribosomal RNA
Rfam family: Bacterial small subunit ribosomal RNA
Source: RNAcentral